UAGAUACCCUGGUAGUCCACGCCGUAAACGAUGGAUACUGGCUGUUGGAGGUAUCGACCCCUUCAGUAGCGAAGCUAACGCGUUAAGUAUCCCGCCUGUGGAGUACGGUCGCAAGACUAAAACAUAAAGGAAUUGACGGGGACCCGCACAAGCGGUGGAUCGUGUUCUUUAAUUCGAUGCUAAACGAAGAACCUUACCAGGCUUGACAUCCAGGGAAUUUUGGGAAACCAAUUAGUGCCUUUGGAACCCU
This 250-nucleotide ribosomal RNA is filed under the name uncultured bacterium. Its description in RNAcentral is "partial 16S ribosomal RNA". It matches the Rfam family "Bacterial small subunit ribosomal RNA", at positions 779 to 1030 of the family's 1533-position model. The record is from RNAcentral.